CUAUUAAAUGGCGCUGUUCGGAAGGGGGAACGCAUAGUACCACAUGCUGUACUUGAUCUACUCAUGCGGGCGACUUUUCCUGCUUCUACAGCUCGAGUCAAGGCAACUGAAAGAUUUGAGACGUUUUAUCCUACUCUAAAAGAGUUGGCUCUUACUGGUUCUAGUACCAAAACCACAAAGCAAGCGUCACAACAGCUUUUGCCUUUUGCCAUCCAAGCGAUUCAAGAAAAUAAUUCCGAGCUAACAAAGGAAGCGACGGAUUUG
Long non-coding RNA from Zingiber officinale, 264 nucleotides. RefSeq lists it as uncharacterized. The record is from RefSeq and is a predicted model, not a curated record. The transcript is spliced from 3 exons. NCBI's taxonomy places the organism in Eukaryota, Viridiplantae, Streptophyta, Magnoliopsida, Zingiberales, Zingiberaceae.